Molecule: non-coding RNA, 45 nt
Filed under: Trichobilharzia regenti
Lineage: Eukaryota; Metazoa; Platyhelminthes; Trematoda; Strigeidida; Schistosomatidae
Source: RNAcentral
CUCCAGACGACAAGUCCAAAAUGGGACGAAAUGCGCAUCGUGGAU